UUAAGCGACUAAGCGUACACGGUGGAUGCCCUGGCAGUCAGAGGCGAUGAAGGACGUGCUAAUCUGCGAUAAGCGUCGGUAAGGUGAUAUGAACCGUUAUAACCGGCGAUUUCCGAAUGGGGAAACCCAGUGUGUUUCGACACACUAUCAUUAACUGAAUCCAUAGGUUAAUGAGGCGAACCGGGGGAACUGAAACAUCUAAGUACCCCGAGGAAAAGAAAUCAACCGAGAUUCCCCCAGUAGCGGCGAGCGAACGGGGAGCAGCCCAGAGCCUGAAUCAGUGUGUGUGUUAGUGGAAGCGUCUGGAAAGGCGCGCGAUACAGGGUGACAGCCCCGUACACAAAAAUGCACAUGCUGUGAGCUCGAUGAGUAGGGCGGGACACGUGGUAUCCUGUCUGAAUAUGGGGGGACCAUCCUCCAAGGCUAAAUACUCCUGACUGACCGAUAGUGAACCAGUACCGUGAGGGAAAGGCGAAAAGAACCCCGGCGAGGGGAGUGAAAAAGAACCUGAAACCGUGUACGUACAAGCAGUGGGAGCACGCUUAGGCGUGUGACUGCGUACCUUUUGUAUAAUGGGUCAGCGACUUAUAUUCUGUAGCAAGGUUAACCGAAUAGGGGAGCCGAAGGGAAACCGAGUCUUAACUGGGCGUUAAGUUGCAGGGUAUAGACCCGAAACCCGGUGAUCUAGCCAUGGGCAGGUUGAAGGUUGGGUAACACUAACUGGAGGACCGAACCGACUAAUGUUGAAAAAUUAGCGGAUGACUUGUGGCUGGGGGUGAAAGGCCAAUCAAACCGGGAGAUAGCUGGUUCUCCCCGAAAGCUAUUUAGGUAGCGCCUCGUGAAUUCAUCUCCGGGGGUAGAGCACUGUUUCGGCAAGGGGGUCAUCCCGACUUACCAACCCGAUGCAAACUGCGAAUACCGGAGAAUGUUAUCACGGGAGACACACGGCGGGUGCUAACGUCCGUCGUGAAGAGGGAAACAACCCAGACCGCCAGCUAAGGUCCCAAAGUCAUGGUUAAGUGGGAAACGAUGUGGGAAGGCCCAGACAGCCAGGAUGUUGGCUUAGAAGCAGCCAUCAUUUAAAGAAAGCGUAAUAGCUCACUGGUCGAGUCGGCCUGCGCGGAAGAUGUAACGGGGCUAAACCAUGCACCGAAGCUGCGGCAGCGACACUAUGUGUUGUUGGGUAGGGGAGCGUUCUGUAAGCCUGCGAAGGUGUGCUGUGAGGCAUGCUGGAGGUAUCAGAAGUGCGAAUGCUGACAUAAGUAACGAUAAAGCGGGUGAAAAGCCCGCUCGCCGGAAGACCAAGGGUUCCUGUCCAACGUUAAUCGGGGCAGGGUGAGUCGACCCCUAAGGCGAGGCCGAAAGGCGUAGUCGAUGGGAAACAGGUUAAUAUUCCUGUACUUGGUGUUACUGCGAAGGGGGGACGGAGAAGGCUAUGUUGGCCGGGCGACGGUUGUCCCGGUUUAAGCGUGUAGGCUGGUUUUCCAGGCAAAUCCGGAAAACUAAGGCUGAGGCGUGAUGACGAGGCACUACGGUGCUGAAGCAACAAAUGCCCUGCUUCCAGGAAAAGCCUCUAAGCAUCAGGUAACAUCAAAUCGUACCCCAAACCGACACAGGUGGUCAGGUAGAGAAUACCAAGGCGCUUGAGAGAACUCGGGUGAAGGAACUAGGCAAAAUGGUGCCGUAACUUCGGGAGAAGGCACGCUGAUAUGUAGGUGAAGUCCCUCGCGGAUGGAGCUGAAAUCAGUCGAAGAUACCAGCUGGCUGCAACUGUUUAUUAAAAACACAGCACUGUGCAAACACGAAAGUGGACGUAUACGGUGUGACGCCUGCCCGGUGCCGGAAGGUUAAUUGAUGGGGUUAGCGCAAGCGAAGCUCUUGAUCGAAGCCCCGGUAAACGGCGGCCGUAACUAUAACGGUCCUAAGGUAGCGAAAUUCCUUGUCGGGUAAGUUCCGACCUGCACGAAUGGCGUAAUGAUGGCCAGGCUGUCUCCACCCGAGACUCAGUGAAAUUGAACUCGCUGUGAAGAUGCAGUGUACCCGCGGCAAGACGGAAAGACCCCGUGAACCUUUACUAUAGCUUGACACUGAACAUUGAGCCUUGAUGUGUAG
RNAcentral lists this ribosomal RNA (2112 nucleotides) under Escherichia coli. Its description in RNAcentral is "bacterial LSU rRNA". It matches the Rfam family "Bacterial large subunit ribosomal RNA", at positions 1 to 2141 of the family's 2925-position model. Lineage: Bacteria; Pseudomonadati; Pseudomonadota; Gammaproteobacteria; Enterobacterales; Enterobacteriaceae. The record is from RNAcentral.